Long non-coding RNA from Amblyraja radiata (thorny skate), 325 nucleotides. RefSeq lists it as uncharacterized. The transcript has 2 exons. NCBI's taxonomy places the organism in Eukaryota, Metazoa, Chordata, Chondrichthyes, Rajiformes, Rajidae. The record is from RefSeq and is a predicted model, not a curated record.
ACGGCUUGCAGCUCUACUGUAUCCAAAGACACCCCCUCUCAGCUCCUGCGAUGGUUCGGUCCACUUUGCUUGCUUUUUGCUCUCCUCCUAAUCCCAUCACGGCCAAACUGCAGAGCACAUUCCCAUGCAGUGGCUGCAGCUACUGGGCUUCAUGCAACAACAAACGAGGCAACAGGGAGGGGUGGUGGUGGCACUGCUACGUGCAACAAGACAAAAUUGUCUUUUCUGUAACGUGCAGAGGAAGAUUGCAGAACCUGGUGACCAUCAGACAAGCCUCAAGUCUCACCGUUCAUCCCCAUGCUGGAUUUAUGAGACAGGGAGACGG